This 253-nucleotide ribosomal RNA is filed under the name uncultured bacterium. RNAcentral describes it as "partial 16S ribosomal RNA". It matches the Rfam family "Bacterial small subunit ribosomal RNA", at positions 524 to 776 of the family's 1533-position model. The record is from RNAcentral.
UACGUAGGGUGCGAGCGUUAAUCGGAAUUACUGGGCGUAAAGCGUGCGCAGGCGGUUUUGUAAGCCAGAUGUGAAAUCCCCGGGCUUAACCUGGGAAUGGCAUUUGGGACUGCAAGGCUCGAGUGCGGCAGAGGAGACUGGAAUUCCUGGUGUAGCAGUGAAAUGCGUAGAUAUCAGGAGGAACACCGAUGGCGAAGGCAGGUCUCUGGGCUGACACUGACGCUCAUGCACGAAAGCGUGGGGAGCGAACAGG